Molecule: ribosomal RNA, 1353 nt
Filed under: metagenome
Description: bacterial LSU rRNA
Rfam family: Bacterial large subunit ribosomal RNA
Source: RNAcentral
UGAGUCCGAGUCUCCACGGAGACGAAGUGGCGGUCAUUAAGCUUCCUAGAAAAGCUCUAACCACGUUAAUCUUUAGUUGCCUGUACCCGAAACCGACACAGGUAGGGGGGUAGAGAAUACCAAGGGGCGCGAGAUAACUCUCUCUAAGGAACUCGGCAAAAUGACCCCGUAACUUCGGGAGAAGGGGUACCACUGAGAAGUGGUCGCAGUGAAGAGGCCCAGGCGACUGUUUACCAAAAACACAGGUCUCCGCCAAGUCGCAAGACGAAGUAUGGGGGCUGACGCCUGCCCAGUGCCGGAAGGUUAAGGAAGUUGGUCAGGGAUUCGUCCUGAAGCUAACGACCGAAGCCCCGGUGAACGGCGGCCGUAACUAUAACGGUCCUAAGGUAGCGAAAUUCCUUGUCGGGUAAGUUCCGACCCGCACGAAAGGCGUAACGAUCUGGGCACUGUCUCGGAGAGAGACUCGGCGAAAUAGGAAUGUCUGUGAAGAUACGGACUACCUGCACCUGGACAGAAAGACCCUAUGAAGCUUUACUGUAGCUUGGAAUUGGGUUCGGGCUUGGUUUGCGCAGGAUAGGUGGGAGGCGAAGAAGGUUUGCUUGUGGGUGAACCUGAGCCAACGGUGAGAUACCACUCUAACCAGGCUAGAAUUCUAACUCUAACCCGUCAACCGGGGAGAGGACAGUUUCAGGUGGGCAGUUUGACUGGGGCGGUCGCCUCCUAAAAGAUAACGGAGGCGCACAAAGGUUCCCUCAGGCUGGUUGGAAAUCAGCCAACGAGUGCAAAGGCAGAAGGGAGCUUGACUGCGAGACUUACAAGUCAAGCAGGGUGGAAACACGGUCUUAGUGAUCCGACGGCACCGCGUGGAAGGGCCGUCGCUCAACGGAUAAAAGUUACUCUAGGAUAACAGGCUGAUCUCCCCCAAGAGUUCACAUCGACGGGGAGGUUUGGCACCUCGAUGUCGGCUCAUCGCAACCUGGGGCGGAAGUACGUCCCAAGGGUUGGGCUGCUCGCCCAUUAAAGCGGUACGUGAGCUGGGUUCAGAACGUCGUGAGACAGUUCGGUCCAUAUCCGGUGUAGGCGCAAGAACAUUGAGAGGAGUCUUCCUUAGUACGAGAGGACCGGGAAGAACGCACCGCUGGUGUACCUGUUAUCGUGCCAACGGUAAACGCAGGGUAGCCAAGUGUGGAGUGGAUAACCGCUGAAAGCAUCUAAGUGGGAAGCCCACCUCAAGAUGAGUGUUCUCAUGGAGUCAUCCAGUAAGGUCACGGGAAGACGACCCGUUAAUAGGCAGUAGGUGGAAGUUCAGCAAUGGAUGAAGCCGAGCUGUACUAACAGACCGAGGGCUUGACC